Long non-coding RNA from Equus caballus (horse), 6114 nucleotides. The record is from Ensembl. Lineage: Eukaryota; Metazoa; Chordata; Mammalia; Perissodactyla; Equidae.
CUGCACCUGUGGGAGGCUGGUCAGCACUCGUGCAAAAUUGGUCCCUGCAGCCGUGGCUGGAAGAAGAGAAAGCUAAGGCUGACGGAUCUGAGCAGUGCACAAGUGUCUGAGGCACCGUAUAGUCCUUUCAGUACAAACGGGAAAAGAUUUUGAUAAAAUUCAACUAUUCAUAAUUUUAAAAAAAUUUUUUUGAGGAAGAUUAGCCCUGAGCUAACAUCUGCUGCCAAUCCUCCUCUUUUUGCUGAGGAAGACUGGCCCUGAGCUAACAUCCGAGCCCAUCUUCCUAUACUUUAUAUAUGGGACGCCUACCACAGCAUGGCUUUUGCCAAGUGAUGUAAUGUCUGUACCCAGGAUCCAAACCGGCAGACCCUGGGCCGCCGAAGCAGAACAUGCGAACUUAACCGCUGCACCACCAGCAAUCUUUAAGGACACAUACUGAAGACGGCUGCAUCCUAAGAUGGAAGGAGACUGGGUCCCUGAAUGCCUGCCUGGGGCAGAAGCCCCCACAAGCCCUCUCGGGCCGAUCCCAUUGGUCUGGGACGGGAGACAGCAAUAUACCCAGUCUGUCAAGCUACUGGAAUUUUGGAGCUUGCAGAACUUAACCUAACUUAACAACUACUAUAUUUAUAAAUAAGUGACUUAUUCAAGUCAUAAGUAUUCUUUUGUGUGUAUGUAAUAGUACACAUGCAAACAUUUUUAAGAAUGGAUGAGAGGUAAGGAAGUGAAGGUAGUGAGCACAGACCUCUUUAAAGAAGCAGUUGUAUAAGAGGGACCAGAGAAAUGGCAUAGUAGCUGAAAGUGGGUAAAGGGUGGAGGGAAGGUGUUUUUAAAGCUGGGAAACGCUAGAGCAUGUCGGAUCCUGACAGGAAUGAUGGGAGGGAGACAGAGCGAAUGAGAAAGCGGGGAAGAAGAAAACUGCAGAAGGAAGGUCCUUGCAAAGGGGAGGAUGCUGCAGAGUGGAAGUAAUCCUUAAUGAGAACUGGAGCCCUCUUAGCCCCCCUGCUAAACGCCAGGCCCUGGGCUUGGAAAUUUACAUACGAAUUGCUCCUCUGGUCUCAGAGCUCCUUGUUGGAAGAUGGAGCUGCUGUAGAGAAAGAGCCGUUUGUGGCUCUAGACAGCACACCAGUGUAUCUGCACCCCGUGGGGGGCUCUGCACGUUUAUGCUUUCUAGUUUCAGCCGCAAGCUCAGUGCAAAGAUUUCUGUGCACACAGGACACCGCUGAGGUUAAGCUGGCACAGGCCCAGGCAGGAGGCAGCCGGUUAAUGAGGGCGGUUUAUCUUCCCGUGCCCACCCACUUGCAUAUCUGGGAAAUUUGCCUAUCUCGCUGGCUGAACUCAGAGCACUAGUCUCGUUAAUCCUCUUGGCCUUCCUGAUAACCAAGGUGUUAGCUGAUAACUACAAUGUUCUCAGAUAAGAACUUAAGGUAUUAUAGGCGAGGAAGUAGGGAAAGAGGCAACCCUGGGGCAGACAGGGAAAGGAAGGGAAGGCAGUGGGAGCCGGCAGCAACUUGUGUUUGAGUUCUCAUUCUGCCCCUUAAUAACCGUGAUGAUGAAGAAGCCGCUCAGCCUCUCCGGUGAUAAAGAUGAUGAAGCUCCCACCUUGUAAGGCAAGUAACAGACCUAACACAUCUCAACUAUCACUUCCCUCUUUCUAUACCCUCCCCUGCUGACUACUUCAAAGUGUCUCCAGGAGAAGUCGUAAUACCGUGAUGCUGGCAUGCAGACCAUGAGCUGACCAUUGGAGAACAACUGUCUUCUCACUUCGUGCCACCUGGAAAAUCCACCCUUUUUUGCCUCCACUCAGUGCUGCUCUGACCUUGAGAGCAAGGUCAGGAGGGAGAAUGCUGAGAUGAAACCUUGUCACCGCUCAUUCAGUGUUCUGCACAGAGAUGCUGGGAGGCCCAGGGAUGCCCCGCGUCUCAGUUUCUCCGGAGUGAAUUGUAGUCAGAACCAUUCAGCUAGCAGUUAUCAACCACCAACUAGAUGGCAGGCCCUGGGCUGUACUUCACACGUGUUUUUUCACUUAGUUCUCGAAGCAGCCCCUAUCAGGUAAGUGUUAUUUUUAGCCUCAUUUAAAAAUAAGGAAACCGAAGCUUGGACAGUUUAGGUAAAUUAACGAAGUCACCGGCUGAGAGGUGGUGGAAUAGAACAGAGCCCACUGUGAUGCCAGAGCCUGUGUCCCUCCACUCUCCCUGUGGGAUCUCAGUGCUCUCCCAGCAGGACUGGCCACCUCCUAGGAGACCUCUGGGAAAACACAGCUUUUGUCACUCUGGAGCCUGGCACAGGAGUCUUGCUUGCAGUGAGCUCCAAGAAGCAUUAAUGUCACGGGUCCCUCUUUCAGGCUUCAUGCAAUCCCAUUCCACACUUAUCUAAUCUUGCUUAUCUCACCGUGUAGUGAUUGCCUGUCAUCUUGUCUGUAUCCCUGGGCCCUGCCCUUCAGCAAGGUCUGCUAGGCAGGGAUUGCAUCUAUCUGGGUCAUCUUUGUAUCCCCAGCCCUAAGAACAUCUGAGGCAUACAAGGGUAUUCAUCCUUCAAGACCAAGCUCAAGUGUUUCAUCCAGUAGGAAUUCUUUCCUGACGAGCCCAUCCACCAUCACUGCCAUCGUACAGUCAUCGGCACCGUCAUUACUUCCAUCUUCAUGAAAAAUCAUCACCUCCACCACUACCACAAUCACCACCAUCACCUUGAUCACCAACAUCAUCAUCACCAAGAGCACCACCAUCAUAUCAUUACUACCAUCCUUACUGCAAUUAUUACUACCAGCACCACCAUCACACUGUCACCAUCAUCAAUACCAUCAUUACCACCACCUUUAUAAACAAAGCAUUACCAACUUGACCGACAUCAUCAUUAUUACUACCAUCACUACUACUACCAUCACCUCCAUUACCAUCAUCACCAACACUAGCACUGGUACCACAACCACCGUCACCACCAUCACUUAGAGUUAGGUGUUUCUCCACUGUGCUCCCAAAGGCUUUUACAUCCAUUGUUCCUACUGUGUUAUAACCACCUACAUACAUGUUUGUCUCCCACUGAGUGGUGGCCUUCUCGAGAUCAAGGACAAGGAUUCAUUCAGUUAUGUAUCCCCUCCACCUCGCACAGCACCCAACACAAACAAAGUGCUAAAUCAAUAUCAGUUGAGGAAAUGAAUGAAUGAAAGCUACCAUAGACCAUAUGUGCUAACAAUCAUGGACGUUAUUUCACAUAAGCCUCACAAUAAUCCUAUGAGCUGGAUAUUUUCACUAUCUCUAUUCUAAUGAUGAUGAAUCUGAGGUUAAGUAACUUGCCCAAAGUCACAUGGUUAGGAAAUGGAUGAACCAGGACGUGAGCCCGCGUCUUCCGACUCCAGGGUCAUCAAGACUAAUUACAAUAUCCUGUUUCACCCCGUUUUUCCUCUCCUGUGAGAGGGGAUCGCAGAGGGACAGCGUUCACCUCAGGGAACCUCAGAAUCCUCAGAACAUGGAGAGUUGUUUGUCAUCAGCCCAGCAUCGCCUAGGACCUGACUUGCAGCUUAGCCACUCUGAGUAGGGCUGUGUCUGGACGCGACCCCCUUACGACACAUCCCCGGUUCUCAGGGGACAUUUUAAACUCUAGGUCACAGGGUGAUUGUUUGUGCUUGUUUCUAAUGAGCUUCCUAUCUUAGAAGGGAAAACAAAGACUAUCUAAUAAACACAGCUGACACUCCAGGGCUGAAAUCCCCCAAACUCUUAAGAGAGGAAAGCCAAUUGUGUGUGAGGGUGUGCAAACUCAUGCGGGGCGGGAUAACUGAAGGAAGCCCUGAAGGAGUCGGUGCAUUUCAGAGGGAUGCAUCACCUGCUUCCACGAAGCUGGGCUCCCGGCACGCCUCAGCCUUUGCCCUGACGCUGGCCUCAGUUUAGCUGCUGGAAAGCCACUUCUCCAGAACGGGAUGUAACAGUUACUGGUGACACGUUCAAAACAUCCUCUCUGCAUUCCAGGCACGGCUGAAGAGGGUGUGUACGUGAUCUGCAUCUACAAAGAACACCUGACUUAUUAAGAAAUCUCUACUCUUCGAGCCAAGAAAUGUUACCAAGGGCCCACAACGACCGGUGCAUCGGCCCUGCUUUUCUUCCUGAGCGGGACUCCUGGAAGACUGUGUCCCUUGGUGCUCUCCCCACUCAGAGAUUCCUCUGCUGCUCAGCAGGCAACAUAAGCCACACCCAACAGUAUCUUUUGUAUUUGUUAGCAUUUAUUGAGUGUUUACUGUGUGCCAUGCACGGCACCUAGUAUUUCCCCGCAUUGUCUCAACUGAUACGAUAACCGAAUCACCCAGGUAGCAUUUGCAUCCCUAUUUUAUACACAAGUAACCAAGCCUGGAGAACUGAAGAGUCCACCAGAGGUCAUAUGUCACCAAUGGUGAAACCUGGAUUUCAACCCAGGCCUUCAGACUCCAGAGACUGUGUGCUAACCCCUGGUAUACACUGCCUCCCCAAAGACUACUUACAGGGCCCUCCAAGUGCACAUGAAAGGGGACCUUCGGAGGCUUCUGUUGUUCCGAUUUGAGCAGGAAAGCAUGCACACGUUCAAUGGAAGUGCAAACUUUACAAGUAGCCCUUUUGCAUUUCGUUAAAGGUUGCUGUGCCUGUGGCAUUUCUCCUCAAUGGGCCAUAAGCUCCGAAAGGGCAGGAACUGUGUGGGGUAUUUUUUGUGUCUCUCACACCUAGCAAAGUGCCUGGCAUCCAGCAGGUGUUUUGGAAAUGUGUUUCAAAGAGGGCAGUGAGGAUAAUGAUAAUAAUGAUGCUGCAUCCUGGGCCCGGUUGACCUUUCUAGCCCGGCUUCCCACACUUCUCCUUCAGGCGGUCUAUGUACCAGCCGAGCUGACCUCUCCCAGUCCCAAAGACACACCAAGGUUUUUGCACCUGUGUGCCUUUGCCCACAAUGUGGCCUCCACCUGGAAUGUUGUCCUCUGCUCUCCCAAGCUUCCUUCAGGGCCCAUCUCAAAUACCACCUCCUCAAGGAGGCCUCUUGGGCUCUUCUCUCAGCUAGAAAUAAUCUCCCAUCUCUCUGAACUCCCUUAGCUCCUGUUAGUUCCUUCCCUUCCUCCCCCUCCUUCUUCUCAGUGUCUUAAUGUGAUGCUGAAGUGAGCUAAUGUUCUAGAAAGCUCUUUGUAAGCCAGAAGGCAAUAUCCAAACAUGAAGGCUUAUGCUCAUAGCUCAUCGACUAAGGAAUAAGAUUGUCAACGGCGUCAGGUUCAACAUUACCCCGCACAGGACCUCACACACCCAAGGCACAAGGAGCUUUUGCUGAAAGCCUGUCUGCAGGCUUCUCUCCCUCUUCCUUGGAGCCACGUUUACGCCCUUCCAAUCAGGCUGAGGUGACUUUCAUCAGACCAAAGUAAAGUCUUAUUAGGAAUGAAUUAGAAAACCAUGAGAAAGGAAAAAAUGGGACUGUCUACUGAACACCCCUGCCUAAGGAUUUUCAGGUACCACAAUGAUUCUCGACUCUAUGAUAUCUAAUGUCCCCUUUUAGUAACAAGUAGUUUGUGACUUUCCCUUUCCUAUCCUACAAUGAAAUUCAUAGAUAACGUACACGGCAGUGAUUGGCAAAUUGCUCACCACCCCCGGUUUCCCCACUUCCUCUUCCUAGGUGCACUAAACUGGAUUUCCAAGCCUCCUUUGCAGUGAGGUGUUGCCAUGCGAGUGAGUUUAAACGAUGGACUGGGAGCACCUCUUCUAGGUCUGGGCCCAAGAAAUCUCCUUCUAGCAACAUCUAGUUGUUUCCAGAUGACCUGAGAAGCCACAAUUUAAAGAUGACAGAAUUUGACUGUGUGGAUUCCAGCUGCCAAAAGGACUUCACAUAAGAGAGAAACUAACUUCUAUUGUUCAACCUACUCAGAUCUGGCAGCUUGUCUUCUAUAACCACCAGCAUUGCCCUAACUAAUACAGUAUAACCCAGUUCCAUGUAUCUAUGGCUCCCGAUGCUGAAUAGGUGCUAUACUUUAGAGACAGUAAAGAGGAUUUGAGUAGAAGAAGUCCGAGCCCAGGUUCAAGAGACUUGGCUUCCAAUCUGGGCUCUGCCAAUAAAUUGCUGAGCAAUAUGAAUCAAGUUCAUUUGCCCUCUCUGGGCCUCAGUUUCUAUGACUGUAAAAUAAAG